This 63-nucleotide transfer RNA is filed under the name Chorisquilla orientalis. RNAcentral describes it as "tRNA-Cys". It matches the Rfam family "tRNA". Rfam says of the family: Transfer RNA (tRNA) molecules are approximately 80 nucleotides in length. Lineage: Eukaryota; Metazoa; Arthropoda; Malacostraca; Stomatopoda; Protosquillidae. The record is from RNAcentral.
AGUUUCAUAGUUUAAUUUAAAAUAUCAGGCUGCAAUUCUGGAGAUACAAUAAUGUUGAAGCUU